RNAcentral lists this ribosomal RNA (305 nucleotides) under uncultured bacterium. RNAcentral describes it as "bacterial SSU rRNA". It matches the Rfam family "Bacterial small subunit ribosomal RNA", at positions 333 to 634 of the family's 1533-position model. The record is from RNAcentral.
UUGGACCUACGGGGCGCAGCAGUGAGGAAUAUUGGUCAAUGGGCGGGAGCCUGAACCAGCCAAGUCGCGUGAGGGAAGACGGUCCUAUGGAUUGUAAACCUCUUUAGGCGGGGAGCAAUGCCGGGCACGCGUGCCCGGAGGGAGAGUACCCGCAGAAUAAGCAUCGGCUAACUCCGUGCCAGCAGCCGCGGUAAUACGGAGGAUCCAAGCGUUAUCCGGAUUUAUUGGGUUUAAAGGGUGCGUAGGCGGAUUGAUAAGUUAGAGGUGAAAUGUCCGGGCUCAACUCGGGAACUGCCUCUAAUACU